Molecule: transfer RNA, 74 nt
Filed under: Deltaproteobacteria bacterium
Lineage: Bacteria; Pseudomonadati; Myxococcota; Myxococcia
Also listed under: 1 other name
Description: tRNA-Pro
Rfam family: tRNA
About the family: Transfer RNA (tRNA) molecules are approximately 80 nucleotides in length. Their secondary structure includes four short double-helical elements and three loops (D, anti-codon, and T loops).
Source: RNAcentral
CGGGGCGUAGCGCAGUCUGGCAGCGCACCUGCUUUGGGAGCAGGGGGUCGGAGGUUCGAAUCCUCUCGCCCCGA